AGAAUUAUACAUCAAUUGUUUAGCUUCUGACCCAUACGACGACAUGGUGGCGCCGCCCUGUUUCAACCACAACAAUGGCAUCUCUCACCCCUGGCAUCCUCUCCAAACUUGUCCAAAAUCUCAACAACACUGUCGCCGGAGGGUAUUGAGAAGAAAGUGGGUGUGAAAGAAAAGAUUGAGGGUUCGGAGCAUCUUUGAUCUUCAGAGCCAUUGAUUAGCCCCCAAUCACAUUGUGGGUCGAAUACAAAACCUAAUUUGGGGGUUUUUGAGAAGGUCUCUGUAAAAAAAAGAAGAUUUUAUGGAUGGGUUUGAUGAGUUUAAGAUCGUAAAGAGAUAGGUUACAAUAGGUUAGAGAGAGAACGUCCUCUUUCGUUGCAGAAGUAGCAAUCUUCGAGAGUCACAGCAACAAUGGCCACAAUGGUUGCUUUUCUGAGCUCCUUUACUUCUUUUUCUCUCUCCUCAAAUUCCUUCUUGGGCCAAUGCAUCUACAGUUCAAUGUCUUCCCUCAUUGUGUCUGUUUUGUUUCGUGUUAUUUGAUUUUGGGGCAAAACAUCUCGAAAUUGCCAUAUACAGUUCAAAUUUAAGGUCGAGGCAUCAACCAAUCAAGUGGCGGACCAGGAGAUGCCGAUGUAUAAUCUUCCAUCGAAGAUCCUUUGCUAUGUGCUCAAUGUCCAAUUGAAGACACUGAUGAGGUGUUUGCCCAAGUGACCCUGCUUCCUCUAAAAGAAGAUGAGAAUGAGGUGGAGAAAGAACCUAUGCCAUCUCCACCACCACGCUUUCAUGUGCAUUCUUUUUGUAAGACCCUAACUGCCUCAGAUACUAGCACUCAUGGUGGAUUUUUGGUGCUAAGACAGCAUGCUGAUGAAUGCCUUCCCCCUCUAGACAGAUCACAGAAACCACCAAAUAAGGAGUUUGUUGUAAAGGAUUUGCAUGGAGACGAGUGGCGUUUCAGACAUAUCUUUCAGGGUAAUUGCUUAAAUAUUCUUUUGUGAGCUUAUAUAGUCAUUUGGAAUACCAUCCACAAUGCAUUCUAUGCAAGUACAUCAAGAAAUUAGGGACUUAUAUUUAUGUUUUAAAGUCAUGGCACUAUUGAGUUUGGCUUGUGAUUAAAGGAGGUGCAUCAAUUUUGCUAACUUACAUUGCUUCUGAAAGGAUCAUUCCGAGGUACAUUUCAAUUUUGUCUUGUUUACUCAAUUCUAUCAUUAGUCCAUCUGACCAAUUACACAAGGAGCAAAUGCUGUCAAUUGAAACGUUUCUACAUGCAGAUAUGGAUGCUACUGCUUUAUAUAGGUAAUACUACUGUUUUAUAUGGGUAAUACUAUUUAACAGUAUUAUGAUUUAGAGUCACAACAGCAAAUUAUAAGUGAUAUGAUGUUAUAAAGUUUCUUUCUGGUAUAGUAUUAGUUUAAGGGAAAUAGCAUUUUUCAAAAUUUUCUUUAUUGUGAUUGGCAAUUAGCUCCAACAUGCUACUUAAACUUCUAGUUUAUGAUAUAGUAGUAUUACUUUCUUUUUAAUUAUUAACAAGAAAAGCUUAGAGGAAUAUUUAAAUCCUAAGCUUAAUAUGCCAUGAACCAAUUUGAUAAUGGCAUUGUUGAUAGACUAAAACGUUCAAGGAAGCUGGAAGCAUUUAAAAGAAAGGAUCGAUUGACCCACAAAUUUUGUUGAAGGUGAAGUUAAUUUUUAAAUGCAUGUUGUGUAGUGAAGAACAUAGCAAUUGAUUUGGAGUGGUUUGUGAUUAUUUGUAGACAGAGCUGGCAUAAUCUUUUGAUAACUUUCCAAAUUAUGCAGCUUGUGUUUAAGCUCCAGAUAAUAAUUAUUUUCAUAGGUUACAUUGCAAGGUUUUGACGCCACUUUAACAGAAUUUUUUUCGCCUGGCUGCAUUUUUACCUGUUCUGGAUUUGAAUAAGUUGAAAUAUAUGAACCUUCAGAAAGAUUGAGUAGGGGGGCUCAAGUUAACUCCAUUUUUAAAUUUUAUCAUUCUGUUGUAUGCAGAACCGAAAGAUGUACGAUCUUGUCUCCCUGCCCUACCAUCCUUAAAUUAAAAAGGCUUUCGACUGCUACAGAACCCUACAAAGUACAAACACUCAGCUGCAUACUAAUUUCCUUCCAAACCAAUUUAACUGAUUCAUGAGUGACAUGUUUCACUAAAGGAAAACUCUUUUUAGAAAUUUACCUAUUGGCAUACUUUUGUUUGUGUUUUUUAAAGAUGUUAAAAAUUUAACAUGCAUUGUUUGCCCUUAUCUUUUAUUACAUCUUACCUUUCUAAUCUAUAUAUGUCGUGCAUUUCUUCUCUUGCACUUUUAUGCGCUAAAUGCAGGAAAGCUGCUAAAUGCACUGAUAUGUGAAUACAUGGACUCAGCACAAUUGAGCCACACACAAAAAGUUUAUCUGCUAGAGUGUAAUUUGAGUUGAAAAGAUCUCUUUAUGCCUUGUUCUCACAAUAUGGAAGGAUUUUCGACAUUGUUGCUUUGAAAACUGCCAAGCUUUGAGGACAAGCAUGGGUUGUGUUUAAUGAAGUGCCAGUUGCCAGUGAUGCAGUGAGACAAACGCAAAACUUUCCAUUUUAUGAUAAACCAAUGGCAUGUCUAAAUUACACAUUUGUAUUUAAUAUACUUUGUGCAUGCACAUGUGGUGUGUGAUUAUCUGUUACAAUUUUAUAACUUCAAACUUCUGGAAACCAAAUUUACUUGCAGACUGGCUCCCUUAUGUCUCCUUGAUGUAGGACAACUUACACGUAACCAUUGAUUGAUACUCCUACAAGCUCUGGUGCCAAAAUUCAUGUAAGGAAGCAGCAAGCCAGCAAUAUGAGGUUUUUUUCAGUUUGAUUAUUAUUAGCUCGACACAUAGGUAAUUGUUCGUGGAUAUUUUGGAUUUUAGGCUUGUAAGAAUAUAAGGAAGGUGUAAGGUUUUGAUGUUCUAAUUGAGUAGAUUUGGGGCUGUUAUGAGGUUGUACAUAGCCAUCUGAAACAGUAUCUAGGGGCUCUUUUUGAAGUCAUUUGGGAUCAAUUGAUUGCUGAAAAUUUAGAAAAGAGAAUUUAUGGAGGACAUCUAUUAUAGGGUUUUGGUACUAGAGUAACAGUUUAUAAUUUUGAGAAAGAAUCGCGAUUAAUGAAUUAGACAAUUAGAUUGGAUAAUCAAUGAAAUAAUUGGCUUAUUAAGCCAAUUGUGAUUAAAUUUUAAAAUUAUGCUUGCAUAUAAUCUAGAUUCAAGAUAAAGAAAGGGAAUGAGAAAGGCAAAUAGGAUCCUAGGAUCACUUCUUGAGUAUCUUAGGCAUCGUAUUUAUAGUUGUUGUUUUCACAUAAAUCCCAAUUCCUGCGACAACCCUUGGAUUCAAUCCACCGGAUAGGGACAUCACCGAGAAACUCCCUCGCUGAAGUGAUGACAUGCUCAUCAAUCCUUGGACUUUAUUCCGCUAUCUGGUAAAAAGUUUGGAAAAGAGGUAACUUCAUUAGAGACAACUUCAUUAGAGGUAUGAAAAAAAAGGUUUUGCUUUAUGUGGAUUUUAUUUGCAUAUAUGUUGAGAUUAUUGAGAUCUUCAAUUUUUGCUAAUUUUUCAUUAUGACAUUGCUUUUAUGAGGCCAUUGAAUUAUCUUAUUAAUUUUGGAAAUGUUUUGUUGAUGUUUUAAAAUUUAUUGAUCAUUUCUUAAUACCUCAAGAAAUAUUUUUGUCUCCGCGUCGUUGGUUUUUGUACUUAUGUGAAGUUUCCUUUGUCAUGCAGACAAGAAAUGUAAUAGGGUUAGUUGCUUCAGCGAUUGCUAUGAGUUUAGGUUCCUUAACACAUACAUUGGGUACACUUAUCCCUGAGAUAGGAGCAAGUGGAUUUGCUACUGCUGCAACUGCAACUACUAUAAGAACUAUUGUCGGUAGUUUUAGAUAAUCUAUUAAUAAUUGCCGAUAUGUUUAGAAAGUUAGAUACGCAUAGUUUUGGAUGGUUUAAACUUUUUGUACAAUUUAGAACUUAAGGAUAUAGUUUUUGAAUGUUUGGAA
Non-coding RNA from Camellia sinensis, 3987 nucleotides. The record is from RefSeq and is a predicted model, not a curated record. Lineage: Eukaryota; Viridiplantae; Streptophyta; Magnoliopsida; Ericales; Theaceae.